RNAcentral lists this ribosomal RNA (483 nucleotides) under uncultured bacterium. RNAcentral describes it as "partial 16S ribosomal RNA". It matches the Rfam family "Bacterial small subunit ribosomal RNA", at positions 28 to 507 of the family's 1533-position model. The record is from RNAcentral.
GACGAACGCUGGCGGCGUGCUUAACACAUGCAAGUCGAACGCUGAAGCUCAGCUUUUGUUGGGUGGAUGAGUGGCGAACGGGUGAGUAACACGUGAGUAACCUGCCUCCUUCUUUGGGAUAACGCCCGGAAACGGGUGCUAAUACUGGAUAUUCACUGGUCUUCGCAUGGGGGUUGGUGGAAAGGGUUUUUCUGGUGGGGGAUGGGCUCGCGGCCUAUCAGCUUGUUGGUGGGGUGAUGGCCUACCAAGGCUUUGACGGGUAGCCGGCCUGAGAGGGUGACCGGUCAUAUUGGGACUGAGAUACGGCCCAGACUCCUACGGGAGGCAGCAGUGGGGAAUAUUGCACAAUGGGCGCAAGCCUGAUGCAGCGACGCCGCGUGAGGGAUGGAGGCCUUCGGGUUGUGAACCUCUUUCGCUCAUGGUCAAGCCGCAACAAUGGUUGUGGUGAGGGUAGUGGGUAAAGAAGCGCCGGCUAACUACGUG